Molecule: ribosomal RNA, 232 nt
Filed under: Escherichia coli
Lineage: Bacteria; Pseudomonadati; Pseudomonadota; Gammaproteobacteria; Enterobacterales; Enterobacteriaceae
Description: partial 23S ribosomal RNA
Rfam family: Bacterial large subunit ribosomal RNA
Source: RNAcentral
CGAGAGGACCGGAGUGGACGCAUCACUGGUGUUCGGGUUGUCAUGCCAAUGGCACUGCCCGGUAGCUAAAUGCGGAAGAGAUAAGUGCUGAAAGCAUCUAAGCACGAAACUUGCCCCGAGAUGAGUUCUCCCUGACUCCUUGAGAGUCCUGAAGGAACGUUGAAGACGACGACGUUGAUAGGCCGGGUGUGUAAGCGCAGCGAUGCGUUGAGCUAACCGGUACUAAUGAACC